GCGGGGCGGGACAGAGAGGUUUCUAUAAGGGGUCGUCAGUGCUGGGUGGUGCGGCCUUGGGGGAAGUGAUAGUAGCCAACAGGUCUAGUUUGGGGAAACCCGGGGGCGGGUACAUCCCGAUGCUGGGGGUCAGGGCUUGCAGGUGGGCCAGGGCCCGAGUGCCGUUGAAGGCCACGUCACAGCCUGACUGGGCUAGAAGCCAGUUCUCCACCUCCGACUGGAGCCACUGGCAGGUCUCUGCAGAGGGAGAGGCAGGUGUCCUGAGGAGGUCAGACACACCUGGAAGGACUGAGAGCGCGCAGCAGGGAGGGUGCAGCACGGCGAACACAUACUGAAGUGUUUCCAGAUGAUGCGUGUUGGAUCUGCUUGAAAAUAAUCCAGCGGUCGGGGAGGCGGUCUUUAGGUGAAACCUGAUUGACUGUUGCUAACUGCUGACGCUCGUGCUGGCUACAAGGGAGCUUAUUACACUAUUCUAUUUCUGCAUCUGUGUGAACUUUUCCAUAAUUAAAAAAAAGGUUUUAAAUGUUAAA
Molecule: long non-coding RNA, 530 nt
Organism: Balaenoptera ricei (Rice's whale)
Lineage: Eukaryota; Metazoa; Chordata; Mammalia; Artiodactyla; Balaenopteridae
Exons: 2
Source: RefSeq, a predicted model, not a curated record